GACGAACGCUGGCGGCGUGCUUAACACAUGCAAGUCGAGCGAUGAAGCACCUUCGGGUGUGAAUUAGCGGCGAACGGGUGAGGAACACGUGAGAAAUCUGCCUUCAACUCUGGGAUAACUCCGUGAAAACGGGGCUAAUACCGGAUAUGAAACCUGCGGGCAUCCGCGGGUUUGGAAAGUUUUUCGGUUGAAGAUGAUCUCGCGGCCUAUCAGCUUGGUGGUGAGGUAAUGGCUCACCAAGGCGACGACGGGUAGCCGGCCUGAGAGGGCGACCGGCCACACUGGGACUGAGACACGGCCCAGACUCCGACGGGAGGCAGCAGUGGGGAAUAUUGGGCAAUGGAGGAAACUCUGACCCAGCGACGCCGCGUGCGGGAUGAAGGCCUUCGGGUUGUAAACCGCUUUCAGCAGGGAAGAAGCGAAAGUGACGGUACCUGCAGAAGAAGCACCGGCUAACUACGUGCCAGCCGCCGCGUAA
RNAcentral lists this ribosomal RNA (478 nucleotides) under uncultured bacterium. RNAcentral's name for it is "partial 16S ribosomal RNA". It matches the Rfam family "Bacterial small subunit ribosomal RNA", at positions 28 to 522 of the family's 1533-position model. The record is from RNAcentral.